Molecule: transfer RNA, 69 nt
Filed under: Ictidomys tridecemlineatus (thirteen-lined ground squirrel)
Lineage: Eukaryota; Metazoa; Chordata; Mammalia; Rodentia; Sciuridae
Description: Spermophilus tridecemlineatus (thirteen-lined ground squirrel) tRNA
Rfam family: tRNA
About the family: Transfer RNA (tRNA) molecules are approximately 80 nucleotides in length.
Source: Rfam by way of RNAcentral
GGUGUUAUGACUCAGUGGUAGAGUGCUUGUCUAGCAAGUGUGAGGCACUGGGUUCAAUCCUCAGCACCA